UGAGGUUGAGCUUCAGCGUUACGUUGGCAGGUACGAACAGGUUGUCGAGAACAAUAUCUAAACAUGUUUUGGUGGCCGCUUCAACUUCAUCGAAUUGGGUUACUACGCACGGUUCUGCACUCGCGGGUGAAGCUUUGCGGUAAACGCGAAUGCAAUAAUUAAUGAUGGAAUCGCACUUUAUUGGUCUUAUCAAUUUACGCCACUUGAAAUCAUAUGUCAAUAAGGAAUGUGGAGGGUCGAUCGCAAAAAAAACAAUCUUGUUUGUUGCGAACUAAUAAGUGUUUAGAGUGUUGAGGCCUAAACAAGAUUGCUUUCGAAAAAUCGUCGGGGCAAGUUCGUAGCGCGUGGCGCGAAGCAGCUUUUUUUUUAUAAAAGAAAAGAGCUUCGCGGCUUCGUGUGGUAAAGGGACACAUUGUGUUUCUCUCGUGCUCCUGUGGACCACUAUGGAACUUUCGCAAAAUCGAUGUAAUUUAAUUGUGCAUGCACCCUGUAUAAAAUGUCCUUCACAUCUCGUCGAUCUUCAAAGUUACAGCGAACAUCGCUAAAUAUUAAAAUUUGCACAGAGAGUUGUAAGAGAAAGGAAGGAGGGAAGUGCGGAAGGUGAUUUUUAUGGUAGUAAAUAUGCGCAUGCGCAGUAUUCAUUAUGACACUACAACAGCUCAGUGAAAACUUGUCGUUUAAUUGUUUACCUUUCAUAUCAAAUAUUUUGGUUACAAAAUGCCACGGACUUGUAAAAAUUCCUCAGAUUGUUUUUGCUACAUUUGUGGGAAUACAUACUAAAAACACAGCGAUAUGUCAUGACCGACCUGGUUAAAACAGCUUAUAAGCUAUAUUUUGGAUUUUCUAUCGAUGAGCGAGAUAAAAGUCGGUUGCCAAAAGUGUGCUGCAAUAGCUGCUCAAGAACGUUGAGAGGUUGGCUUGAAGAAAGUCACACAAAUCCAUGCCGUUUUCAAUGCCAAUGAUUUGGAGUGAGCCUCCAAAUCAUGAGAAUGAUUGUUAUUUCUGUUACACGAGGAUUCUCGAAAAAAAAAUAAAGAUAGGAUUGUUUAUCCGAACGUCCUAUCUGCAAAGAGACCAAUUCCUCGUGAUAAAGACACUCCACCUCCAGUUCCACCAGUUAAUGAAAUAACUGACGAUAUUUAUUAGUUUUGUUAAUAUAAUUUAGGAUUUUUUACUGUAAAACUCAAGCCGCCACAUUUUUUUAUUUCCUUAUAAUAAUUUAUACUUUAAUAAUAUUGUUUUUUGAUGAAGUAAAUAUUAAAUUUAAAACCUA
Long non-coding RNA from Cylas formicarius (sweet potato weevil), 1273 nucleotides. RefSeq lists it as uncharacterized. Lineage: Eukaryota; Metazoa; Arthropoda; Insecta; Coleoptera; Brentidae. The transcript has 3 exons. The record is from RefSeq and is a predicted model, not a curated record.